GGUUGACCUCGGAUCAGGUAGGAAUACCCGCUGAACUUAAGCAUAUCAAUAAGNCGGAGGAA
This 62-nucleotide ribosomal RNA is filed under the name Colletotrichum sp. RNAcentral describes it as "partial 28S ribosomal RNA". Lineage: Eukaryota; Fungi; Ascomycota; Sordariomycetes; Glomerellales; Glomerellaceae. The record is from RNAcentral.